RNAcentral lists this ribosomal RNA (434 nucleotides) under uncultured bacterium. RNAcentral's name for it is "partial 16S ribosomal RNA". It matches the Rfam family "Bacterial small subunit ribosomal RNA", at positions 29 to 507 of the family's 1533-position model. The record is from RNAcentral.
AGCGAACGCUGGCGGCAGGCCUAACACAUGCAAGUCGAACGAACCUUUCGGGGUUAUUGGCGGACGGGUGAGUAACACGUGGGAACGUGCCUUUAGGUUCGGAAUAACUCAGGGAAACUUGUGCUAAUACCGAAUGUGCCCUUCGGGGGGAAGAUUUAUCGCCUUUAGAGCGGCCCGGGUCUGAUUAGCUAGUUGGUUGAGGUAAUGGCGCACCAAGGCGACGAUCAGUAGCUGGUCUGAGAGGAUGAUCAGCCACAUUGGGACUGAGACACGGCCCAAACUCCUACGUGAGGCAGCGGUAGGGAAUCUUGCGCAAUGGGCGAAAGCGUGACGCAGCCAUGCCGCGUGAAUGAUGAAGGUCUUAGGAUUGUAAAAUUCUUUAACCGGGGACGAUAAUGACGGUACCCGGAGAAGAAGCCCCGGCUAACUUCGUG